Molecule: non-coding RNA, 188 nt
Filed under: Metalysinibacillus jejuensis
Lineage: Bacteria; Bacillati; Bacillota; Bacilli; Caryophanales; Caryophanaceae
Source: RNAcentral
AGAACUAAGAAAUCUGACGAGUCGAAUGAUGCAGUAACGUGCAGAAAGGCUCGGUCUAAUACUCCGAAUUGCAUCGCCACGGGCAGUCGAGGUGGUGUAAUAAGCUCGGUGAAGGCAGUCGAAUAUCACCCUCAUUAUAGGAAACUAAAGCAUAGCUUUACGUGAUAGAUAGACUGGGGCUCUAUAAA